CAGGACGAACGCUGGCGGCGUGCCUAACACAUGCAAGUCGAACGGAGUUGACUCUUCGGGGUUAACUUAGUGGCGAACGGGUGAGUAACGCGUGAGAAACCUGCCUCUCAGUGGGGGACAACAGUUGGAAACGACUGCUAAUACCGCAUAACACUUUAGUACCGCAUGGUACAGAAGUCAAAGCUUUAUCGCUGAGAGAUGGCCUUGCGUCUGAUUAGAUAGUUGGUGAGGUAACGGCCCACCAAGUCUACGAUCAGUAGCCGGACUGAGAGGUUGAUCGGCCACAUUGGGACUGAGACACGGCCCAGACUCCUACGGGAGGCAGCAGUGGGGAAUAUUGCACAAUGGGGGAAACCCUGAUGCAGCAACGCCGCGUGAAGGAAGACGGUCUUCGGAUUGUAAACUUUUGUUCUUAGUGAAGAAACAUGACGGUAGCUAAGGAGAAAGCCACGGCUAACUACGUG
RNAcentral lists this ribosomal RNA (464 nucleotides) under uncultured bacterium. RNAcentral's name for it is "bacterial SSU rRNA". It matches the Rfam family "Bacterial small subunit ribosomal RNA", at positions 25 to 507 of the family's 1533-position model. The record is from RNAcentral.